UUACAGUGUAGUGGUGAGGAUGCUGCUUGGGUUAUACCAGGACAUUUCAAGGUUACUAACAAUGGAUCCAUUCCACAGACCUGAGCCCUAGGACCAUGCCUCAGGACUACCUGACAUGAUGACUCCUUGCUGUCCCCAGUCCACCUGGCCAUGCUGCUGCUCCAGUUUCAACUGUUCUGCCUGCGGCUAUGGAACCCUGACCUGUUCACCGGACGUGCUACCUGUCCCAGACAUGCUGUUUUCAACUCUCUAGAGACAGCAGGAGUGGUAGAGAUACUCUUAAUGAUCGGCUAUGAAAAGCCAACUGACAUUUACUCCUGAGGUACUGACUUGCUGCACCCUCUACAACCACUGUGAUUAUUAUUAUUUGACCCUGCUGGUCAUUUAUGAACAUUUGAACAUCUUGGCCAUGUUCUGUUAUAAUCUCCACCCGGCACAGCCAGAAGAGGACUGGCCACCCCUCAUAGCCUGGUUCCUCUCUACCCAGUACAGCCAGAAGAGGACUGGCCACCCCACAUAGCCUGGUUCCUCUCUAGGUUUCUUCCUAGGUUUUGGCCUUUCUAGGGAGUUUUUCCUAGCCACCGUGCUUCUACACCUGCAUUGCUUGCUGUUUGGGGUUUUAGGCUGGGUUUCUGUACAGCACUUUGAGAUAUCAGCUGAUGUAAGAAGGGCUAUAUAAAUACAUUUGAUUGAUUGAUUGAUU
Oncorhynchus nerka (sockeye salmon) is the source of this 703-nucleotide long non-coding RNA. RefSeq lists it as uncharacterized. NCBI's taxonomy places the organism in Eukaryota, Metazoa, Chordata, Actinopteri, Salmoniformes, Salmonidae. The record is from RefSeq and is a predicted model, not a curated record. The transcript is spliced from 2 exons.